AGUGAACGCUGGCGGCAUGCCUAACACAUGCAAGUCGAACGGCAGCACAGCAGUAGCAAUACUGUGGGUGGCGAGUGGCGGACGGGUGAGGAACACAUCGGAAUUUGCCCAGUCGUGGGGGAUAACGUAGGGAAACUUACGCUAAUACCGCAUACGACCUUACGGUGAAAGCGGGGAUCGCAAGACCCCGCGCGGAUGGAUGAGCCGAUGUCGGAUUAGCUAGUUGGUGGGGUAAAGGCCUACCAAGGCGACGAUCCGUAGCUGGUCUGAGAGGAUGAUCAGCCACACUGGGACUGAGACACGGCCCAGACUCCUACGGGAGGCAGCAGUGGGGAAUAUUGGACAAUGGGGGCAACCCUGAUCCAGCAAUGCCGCGUGUGUGAAGAAGGCCUUCGGGUUGUAAAGCACUUUUAUCCGGAACGAAACGUGCGGGGUGAAUAGCCUCGUAAACUGACGGUACCGGAGGAAUAAGCACCGGCUAACUUCGUG
Molecule: ribosomal RNA, 489 nt
Filed under: uncultured bacterium
Lineage: Bacteria
Description: bacterial SSU rRNA
Rfam family: Bacterial small subunit ribosomal RNA
Source: RNAcentral